CCUUUUCGGUAAAAAGACAGUUAGGUGGUGUAAUAAGUUUAUUUAAUUUUUAUUGGGAAGUAAAAUUCGUAAAUAAUUUAGAAAAUUAAUUGAAACUAAAAGACUGAAGCUGUGAUGCCCUUGAGGGAAACUGGGAUUAGAUACCCCAUUAUUCUCGGAAAUAAAAAUAUAAUCUACCAGAGUACUAUGAAUUGAUAAUAUUUAAAACUCAAAGAGCUUGGCGGUGUUUUAGACUCUUUAGGGGAACCUGUCUCAUAAUCGACAAUCCACGUAAAACCUGACCUUUAUUUGCUUUCAGUUUGUAUACCGUCGUCGUCAGGUAACUUUUUAGAAAAAAGAAGUUAGCAAAAGAGUCUUAAUAAGCUCUUACGUCAGAUCAAGGUGCAGCCAACAUAAAGGAGAGGAUGGGUUACAAUUAUAAAAUUUAUAACUACGAAAUAACUGUUUUAAAUUACAGUUAUGAAGGAGGACUUAAAAGUAAAAUAUAAUAUAUAAAUAUAUUG
This 503-nucleotide ribosomal RNA is filed under the name Semiricinula squamigera. RNAcentral describes it as "partial 12S ribosomal RNA". Lineage: Eukaryota; Metazoa; Mollusca; Gastropoda; Neogastropoda; Muricidae. The record is from RNAcentral.